Molecule: non-coding RNA, 58 nt
Organism: Myotis brandtii (Brandt's bat)
Lineage: Eukaryota; Metazoa; Chordata; Mammalia; Chiroptera; Vespertilionidae
Source: Rfam
UGGCUCAGUGGAUAGAGCGUCCGCCUGCAGACUGGAAGGUCCCAGGUUCGAUUCCUGG